Molecule: ribosomal RNA, 492 nt
Filed under: uncultured bacterium
Lineage: Bacteria
Description: partial 16S ribosomal RNA
Rfam family: Bacterial small subunit ribosomal RNA
Source: RNAcentral
AGUGAACGCUGGCGGUAGGCCUAACACAUGCAAGUCGAACGGCAGCACAGUAAGAGCUUGCUCUUACGGGUGGCGAGUGGCGGACGGGUGAGGAAUACAUCGGAAUCUACUUUUUCGUGGGGGAUAACGUAGGGAAACUUACGCUAAUACCGCAUAUGACCUACGGGUGAAAGCAGGGGAUCUUCGGACCUUGCGCGAUUGAAUGAGCCGAUGUCGGAUUAGCUAGUUGGCGGGGUAAAGGCCCACCAAGGCGACGAUCCGUAGCUGGUCUGAGAGGAUGAUCGGCCACACUGGAACUGAGACACGGUCCAGACUCCUACGGGAGGCAGCAGUAGGGAAUAUUGGACAAUGGGCGCAAGCUUGAUCCAGCCAUACCGCGUGGGUGAAGAAGGCCUUCGGGUUGUAAAGCCCUUUUGUUGGGAAAGAAAAGCAGCAGGUUAAUACCCCGCUGUUCUGACGGUACCCAAAGAAUAAGCACCGGCUAACUUCGUG